Molecule: long non-coding RNA, 907 nt
Filed under: Fukomys damarensis (Damara mole-rat)
Lineage: Eukaryota; Metazoa; Chordata; Mammalia; Rodentia; Bathyergidae
Description: lncRNA (ENSFDAG00000029700.1)
Source: RNAcentral
CCCGAGUUCAAUCCCCAGUACCUAAAAAAAAAAAAAAAGAGUACAUAGAUGAAUCUUGAAAGCUUUGUGCCAAGUGAAAGAAGCCAGACCUAAUUAAGCCACAUGUUGCAAACUCCAUUUAUAUGAAAUGUCCAGAAAAAUCAAAUCCACAGAGACAGAAAGUAGAUUAGUGGCCCUGGGGUGGGCUGAGGGGCAGUCUCAACAGAAAGUGACGGAUAAUGUAUAGGGGAUUUCUUUGGGGGUGAUGAAAAUACUCAGGAACUUGAGAGUGUAAGAUUAUAAAACUUUGUGAAUAUACUAGAAAUCAUUCAUAGCAUAGAAUUAUUUACCUUAAAAGGAUGAAACUUAAGAAUGGAGUUAUGUCUCAAUUUUUUUUUUUCAGAAAGUUACUAUUGGGAGUGAGGAUCCAUCCAGCUCCCUUCAAUAGACUCUGCCAUUGUGUAGAAAAUGACCUGAGAGCCACAAGAGAAAUCAAUUCCAGUCAAAGGAGUUGUGAAAAAAAUUUUUUUUAAGUGGAGCCAGUAUUUUAAGAUUUUCCAGGUCAUGGAAAAAUAUACACUAAGAACACGAAAACAACACAGUCUCUCCAAUGGCACAAAAUUUAAUCCUCAUUGUUUAAAUAAAGUCAGGCCAGUUUAAUAAGGGGGAGUGUUCCUUGCCCGCCGUGAAAUGAUCCAUUAUGAUGCAUUAAUAGGAAAAACACUAUUACAAGUCAUUACUACUUUUCCUGGCUGGUCCCAAUUUUGUCAUUUACCAUGCUUUCUUUUUCAAAGCUUUCUCCCCCAACCCCUUGGCUACAAAAGUAAUACAGAUUCACUGUUUAAAUUUUGAAAAAUAAGAGGAAAAUAAAAAUAAAUAAAUAACUGCAGAAAACGCUUUCAACUCACCAUUAAAAAACUGUUUUUCC